RNAcentral lists this transfer RNA (70 nucleotides) under Trichonephila inaurata madagascariensis. RNAcentral describes it as "tRNA-Cys". It matches the Rfam family "tRNA". From Rfam's summary of the family: Transfer RNA (tRNA) molecules are approximately 80 nucleotides in length. Their secondary structure includes four short double-helical elements and three loops (D, anti-codon, and T loops). Further hydrogen bonds mediate the characteristic L-shaped molecular structure. tRNAs have two regions of fundamental functional importance: the anti-codon, which is responsible for specific mRNA codon recognition, and the 3' end, to which the tRNAs corresponding amino acid is attached (by aminoacyl-tRNA synthetases). tRNAs cope with the degeneracy of the genetic code in two manners: having more than one tRNA (with a specific anti-codon) for a particular amino acid; and 'wobble' base-pairing, i.e. permitting non-standard base-pairing at the 3rd anti-codon position. The record is from RNAcentral. Lineage: Eukaryota; Metazoa; Arthropoda; Arachnida; Araneae; Nephilidae.
GGGUGGAUAGCUCAGUGGUAGAGCAUUCGACUGCAGGUCGAGAGAUCUCCGGUUCAAAUCCGGGUAUCCC